GUGGAACCAAAAAUGUAAAAAAAAAAAAACUCAUUGCCAUAAUCUAAUUGACUGCAUUAGAAGAAGAUUCUUCAAUACUGUUCCUCAGUUUGAUGUCCAUCUUCUUGGUUCUCUUCAGUUGUUUCACGACACCAAUUCGCUUGGAGGAAUAAGGAGAAGGAAUC
This is a long non-coding RNA of Ipomoea nil (Japanese morning glory), 164 nucleotides long. RefSeq lists it as uncharacterized. The record is from RefSeq and is a predicted model, not a curated record. NCBI's taxonomy places the organism in Eukaryota, Viridiplantae, Streptophyta, Magnoliopsida, Solanales, Convolvulaceae. The transcript has 2 exons.